Molecule: transfer RNA, 71 nt
Filed under: Alosa alosa (allis shad)
Lineage: Eukaryota; Metazoa; Chordata; Actinopteri; Clupeiformes; Clupeidae
Description: tRNA-OTHER
Source: RNAcentral
GCCGUGGCCUACUGGUUAGCGCUUCGGACUUGUAACCGGAGGGUUGCCGGUUCGAACCCCGACCUUAAGCA